CCUACGGGUGACAGCAGUGAGGAAUAUUGGUCAAUGGACGAGAGUCUGAACCAGCCAAGUAGCGUGAAGGAUGACUGCCCUACGGGUUGUAAACUUCUUUUAUAAAGGAAUAAAACGAGGCACGUGUGCCUUUUUGCAUGUACUUUAUGAAUAAGGAUCGGCUAACUCCGUGCCAGCAGCCGCGGUAAUACGGGGGGUCCGAGCGUUAUCCGGAUUUAUGGGGUUUAAAGGGGGCGUAGCUGGGUUGUUAAGUCCGUUGUGAAAGUUUGCGGCUAAACCGUAAAAUUGCAAUUGAUACUGGCAGUCUUGAUUACAGUUGAGUUAGGCGGAAUUCGUGGUGUAGCGGU
RNAcentral lists this ribosomal RNA (347 nucleotides) under uncultured bacterium. RNAcentral's name for it is "partial 16S ribosomal RNA". It matches the Rfam family "Bacterial small subunit ribosomal RNA", at positions 338 to 682 of the family's 1533-position model. The record is from RNAcentral.